This is a long non-coding RNA of Cavia porcellus (domestic guinea pig), 6596 nucleotides long. RefSeq lists it as uncharacterized. Lineage: Eukaryota; Metazoa; Chordata; Mammalia; Rodentia; Caviidae. The record is from RefSeq and is a predicted model, not a curated record. The transcript is spliced from 2 exons.
UCAGCUUAUAUGAUUAUUAUUACACUCUUAGUAUCUUCUUUUUUUCUGUUUAGAUUCUCUGUCUAUGGUCAUACUUCCUGGUAGAGAGAAGCUUCAAUAAUCUUGACUGUUUUUACUUCCAGAGAAAACAAAUUCUGCACAGAGGCACAAGAAACAAAGGUUUCUUCAAAACUUAAAACAACCUAUUUUGGGUAAGAUCAAUCUUUGGUGAAAAUGAAUUUUCCCUAAGCAAUAAUUUGAACAUAAGUGGCUGAGAUAUUUAAUUAACCUGUGAAUAGCUUCAGAACACAUCUGACUGUAUUAUUCAAAUUAAAAUUGAGAUAUGGUCUGUCUUCCCGGUCAACACAAAGGGCAUAUUGACAUAAAGUCUAGAAAAGCAGAACUAAAAAAGCAGAAUAUUUCAGAGCAUGUCCACUGCUGUCCUGGUAAGACACCACUGGCUGGGGGCCAUUUCUACCAAAUACAGAAGAUAGAGGAAUGGUGCUGAGCAGUUGGAUAAAUGAAUAAGUUGGGGUGACUGUUCUUCCUCCAAUUCUGUGUUCACCACGACAAUCUUCUGGUUAUAAUCUUGUUUUCCCUGCAGAUUCUCCUACGGAAAUAAUUCUGACUACAGAAAACUGGCAGUCGAAGUUGUUGGCAGUUCUAUUUUUAUGGCUAAUUAAUAAAUUGAAAUCUCCCAAGCCUGAGCACCAUGGAGCAUGCAGACCAAGUGGAAUUUCUAGGAUUACAGAGGGAUCCUGCUUGACCUAGAGUGACCUCAGUGGAUGCUGUCUCCAAGGUCACAUGCCCAGGGUGCCACUGGACUCUCUAGAUGAGCUCUUUAUUUCCUUUCAGUAAAUGUGAGGGAUCAGAAUGAUAGUUAUGGUGUAUAGUGCUAGAAUUCUACCAGUUUGGAUUUAGACCAUAGGCAUAACUAUAUUUAUGUUCUUGGUUUAUCAUUUAGUCAAUUGUUCCUGUUACAAACUGAUUAUCACUAUGUUCUGAGCAUUUUAUUAGGCACGGGAAUACAGUGACAAAUAGAGUACAAUUCCUACCAUCAGAAGCUUUCAGUUCAAUUAUAGAAACCCUAUUUUAAACAAAUAGUCAGACGGUAUGCUAAAUACCUAAACACUGUUACAGAAAAAGCUAUGCUGUAGGAUUGGUUAUGUGUUUAUGUAGACAAAUUAAAGAAGGCUUCAUAGCAUUUAAGCAGCCUUGCACGUAACCAGGAAUUUGGUGGGUAGAUGGGAGAAUCAGCAAUUCUCCAGGAAAAGUGAAGAACAUCCUCAAGUAAGUGGAUCAUCCAGGAUGGAAUGGAGGUUAUCCCACAGUUUGGGUUGGGAAAUAGAGACCAGGAGAGUGGAUGAAGCUGGAAAGGUAAGCCGGAACUGUCAGGUGAUGGGCUUUGCAAGUUAUACUAAGGACUUCUGUUUUUGUGCUGUACAUUGCAGGAGGAAUACAUGAAAGAUUCCCCAGGGAACGUCGUUUAUCACAGCAUUGGUCUGAUUACAGAGGUUGGGUGGGAUGGGGAUGGGUCUGGCCUCAGGAAGACCAAUCUGCAGACUCUUUCUGCAGUCUGGCUGAGGGCUGAGGGUGAGAACUGUUGCAAUUAAUAUCAGGACAGAAAUUUGAAAGAGGGUUCAAACAGAAUUAAGGCAGGUGAGGUGUCAUAGGGACAGGAAGAGGAAGAAUGUUUGAUUCCCACAUUUCUGAUUUGGGGUAGUCAGAGUGCUGUUAAUCUCCAUAAGCACUGAAAGGAAGACCAAAAACUUUUAUGGGUGAAAAAUACAGAUUUAUUUUUGUAUUGACUUUGAUCUAUUCAGGUCAAAUUUGAAACCUGAGAGAGAUUGCCAAGCUGGAAAUAAAUGUUUUAUGAUUAAAGAAUGAGCAGCAGUAAAGCGAGGGAAUGGGUAUUGCCUGAGAAGGUUGUGUUAAGUGAGGAGGGAACGGUGCCAGAGGCGGCCUCGAGAGAACUUUAACAUUCAGGGAUGGACUGCGGCGUAAGGGGAGCUGGGAAUAAGGAGCCAAUGGAUGAUUUGUUUUGGAAUAUUUCCAUGCUAAAUUGUCUGGCUGACAAUGGCCAGGACUGUUCUUUGCAUUUUUUUUUGGUCUCCUUCCCCCUCCUUCGUCUUCUUCCCUUUCACCCCCUUUUUGCCUUCCUCUUUUAUUCCUCCUCCUUGUACGCUUCUCCCUUCCCCCUUACUUUUCAAUUCUUGGUUGUUCCAAAAUAAAGCCUAGGGACUUUGAAAAUGCAUUUCUUCCUAUAUUUUUUCCCUACCCAACUUCAGAAUCUUAAAUAUACAGUGUUCUGGCUGGGUAACAGUCACGUGACAGCUAAUAGCAAGAAAAACUUAACAUUGAAUGAGCAUUUUAUGUAUCCCAUGGAUAAUCUCAUUUGGAUCUUCCAAAAUCCCGUGACGGAACUUUCUGUCUUCAUUUUAACUGGGAUGAAACAGAGGCUCAGAGAUGCUACACAUCCUCCCCACAGUCACACAGCCAGAUGUGAUAGGAUUUAAACCUAUGUUUAUGAGCCUGCAUUCUAUAUGGUGUUGUCUUUUUUGAUUUCCUGUUACUUGUUCCUCUUAUCAAUUCUAGUUUGGUGAUGUUCCAUCCAUUUGCACUCAGCGUUUCUUUGAAUAUUGAACCCUUAAUUCUGACCUGCCCGAGAAAAGUUCCCUUCUAAGUGUGUCUCUUUCCCUGUGACUUCAGUAAGACCUCUGGCUCUAUUCCAGGUUUUCACCUGCUUCCUAAUAAUCCCUGCAUCUUUGCAAGCACAGCCCCGGUUCCCAUGUCCUACCUACUGCUUGGUUUUCAGUUCUGCUCCUGCUGGUUGACUUUGCCAACAAGGCGGUAACCUCGCUCCUGAUGAAUGAUGAUGAUAAUAAUAACAGCAAAUGCUUGCACUUAUGAUAUGAAGACACGUACUCCCUCUUCUUAGCUCACAACCACCCUGAGGAGGAGUCACGGAGCUUGCCAUGACCUCCUCACUUCUAGCCUUUGCCCUGAUUGGCCUUCCCACAGUCCUUGGGGUUCCCCCCUCUACUCUGCAGGGUCUAUGGCGUGUCCCUGUCUUGCUCCUCUUCUGCUGGCAGCCCAAACCUCCCUGGCUAAGGUCUCUGUGUGACGUUGUAAGGACGGAGCCUCCAUUUCCUAGGAACUUUGUCUCCUCUUUCCACCACUUCCGCUUUUGAGAAUAAACUCCCCCAAAUCCGCCUUUUCAAAUUGCUGGCAGUGUUUCAAACAGAGUAUUAAAGUGCUUCAUUGCUGUAAACAGAACACUAAACAGUCGUGGUCUUUCUUCAGCACAGAAUACAGGGAAGGCAGGUCCGCUGGGGCAAACCUGUCACUGUGGUUUUCUGGAGGAAACAUUGUUGGGUUGGUUGAGUUUUACUUUAUUUAUUUGAUUUCUCUGAGUGUAAUAAACUGGGUAACCUACCAGCCCUUGGUGAAGCCGAGGAAUGUCUCUCCUCACAAUUCUUAAAUUCUUCCCUCUGCAAUUUGAGUGCCCCAUAGCAGAGAGAAAUGGAAGUGGCUGGAGGUUUUUGUACUGCAAGACUAGCAUGCUGUAUAGUAACAUUCCUGUAGCAACAGUUUUAUUACACAGAAGAAAUGAAGCCCUCUUGUAUGGAGGAAAGCACAAAGCUUGCACCAAUUUAGGAUUAAAAAUGAAAUUUCAGAUUUCCUGUUUGUUAUAGGUGUGGUUCCCAUGGGCUUCCAUCAAUUUUCUCCUAGGUCAGAGGUAUUUUGGUGGAAAUUUUGUGAUGCUCUGACCUAGUGUGUGCGUGAACAGAGGCAGGUGUACGGAUCCGGUGCUUACUAGGUGUUCUCCCUCCCUUUCUGUCCCUCUUUCCUUCUCUCAUUCUGCGCUUUUUUUCUCUCCCCUUUCACCUCAGUUGCUAGCUCUUAUUUUCUGUCUUGGUGAAAUGCUCUCUUUAGUGGCACUGGCCUUCCUCAGGCACCAGUGUGCUUGGGAAUUGUACAGCUGUCAUGGACUCUUAGAAUGCAAGAGCCUGCAGCAACCACAGAAGCCCGCCCCUUUCAUAUGCUACAUGGAAGUCAGUCAAGGUCACAUAGCUGGCUAGAGGCUGAGCCAGGCAAGACCCCUGGGUUCCUGGCUCGUGGUCCAGAGAGCUCAGCAAAGUCAAAUGGGCUGUCAACCAAUGCACUAGCUCUCAUUUCAUGAACAGGUUGUGGGAUUUGCAGCUCAUUUGUUGUUGGUGCUGCCAUAAGAACAAGAUCAUGGUGAUGAUAGGAGGUGUCCGCUCCAGAUUAGUAAUAGAACAGCCCUUCUGGAAAUACCAGAGCUGGAGCACUUGCCAAACUGUAGUAACCGGUGCCCAUGAGGCUCAGGAACCCAGAUCCAGCCAAAACCAGGGCCAGCUGCUCGAGGGGAAGGAACGAUCUGUUCCUUCCCUGCCCAUAUGGGGAGCUGGGCAUGGCCUGAGGCAGGCCACUGUUAGCACAGCUGCUUUCCUGAGAGGAAAGACAUCGCGAAUGCCUCCACAUUCCUGCAUCCUUGUUCUCCUUGGCAACAGACUGAGUUAUUUUUCUCAAUGAUUAUAUGGUAGAUUAAUAACUAAAAGCUAUUUUUAAAAAAUUUAUGGGCAAAUCCAGAUCUCUUCUUUCACAUAAACGAGUGCUACAUGGAUGUUAGACUUAGAUGAAUCCAGAUAAUUUUGUAUCCUAUCUUCUUUUCCACAAAUAUCUCAAGAAUUACUCCAAGACAGGUCUUUUGAGAGGAGCUCGGAAAAUAGGAGAGAUACAUUCCCUGUCCUCAAGGAUCUGAUCAUCGACUCGGGGAGUAUUUAGUUUUCUACUGCUGCUGCAGCAACUUACCACAUAUUUGGUGGCUUAAACAACACAAUUGGUUAUUUUACAGUUCUUGUGGUCAGGAGUCCAAAAUAGAUCUUGCCAAAUCCAAGUGCUGAAGGCCUUGUUCCUUCUGGAACCUCUGGGGGAGAAUCUGUUUCUUGCCUGAUCUGGCUUCUAAGUCCACCCACAUUCCUUGGCUUUUGGCUCCCUUUUCCAUCUUCAAAGGAUGGAACAAUAGCCAGGAAAGCCUCUAACUGCUAUCUCCCUGUUCAUACUCAUCCACCUCCCCCUUCCACAGCUAAGGACCUGUGGUGACUGCAUAUGCUGCUCCCAUGGGUAAUCCUUUCAUCUUUAAGUUUGAUUAGCAGCCACUGGCACCUUUUAUCAUGUAUGCCAACAGAUUCACAAGUUUUGGGGGUUGGAAUACAGCCUCAUGGGAGGCUUUAAUCUGUCUUCCAUGGAGAUUUAGACACCCUCCUAGUUGGGCACUGAACUCCAGGGAUGGUGCUGUGAUAGGAACACACAAGAACAGCAUUUGACUCAGGGGUUGGAGUGCUGUGGAGCUGUGGUCAGGGAUGAUGUCCUGGAAAAUGCGAUAUUUCAGCCUAUACUUUUAAAGUGUGUGACAUCCUGGCCAAGAAGAAGUAAAAGGACACACAGAAGCAAAUGGAGGAUGCAGAUGUGGCUAGAAUUUGGGGUCUGGGAAGGAGAGUUAGUGGGUGAUAAGCAAGGCUGGAAAGCCAUGGCAGGCCACAGAUGGAACCCUCAGAAAUGACAACUGGGCCUUUUGUUUUGAAGCAAUGUUUGGUCUGAAGUGGGGGAAGGCAGCAAGGCAUAAUAAACUCCUCCAGAACUAACAGCCAGUGUUACCAUCCUUAGGCUUGGGGUCAGUGGGAGGAAGGAGUUGCCAGAAGAAUGUGAGACCUUUGGCUAUAGGAAGAAACACCCUCUAGAAGCCAUGAUAUUUAACAAAAAGACAAAGCAAAGAGAAACAAAACAAACUAUCACAUCCAUGGUGCAACUACAGCUCACAGAGAAGAGAGGAUCAGAGGAACAGAAACUCUUACCUAAAGAAAGAUGAAUCUUCCAUCUUUCAGUCUGUUGUUCUUUUCUUGCAUUGGCAAACCCACUUACAAGCCAAGAGGAAACUGAACCUGAUGAACACAAUCUGCAGGAUUUAGACCUCUGGGUCAGAAGAGAUGGAUUAGAAUGGAAAACCAUAGGAACCAGACAGGGGCACCUUGCAUGUCAUGAAUAAAGAAUCUGCACUCUACACCAAAGGCCACAGAGAGGCUCAGAAGAACUUUAUACAGAUCAGUCAAUGGCUCUUACCAUUCCAAAUGCAUAGUGCCUUUAUCAUAUAAGUCUUCCAUCAGGCCUGGCCAGGCUGCUUCUUGGCACUGUGGUCCCAGAUGCAACAGUAGGAUGAGAAAUGGGAUGAGUAGACUUUUCUCAAGUCUCUGCAUGUGUCGCAACUACUGACAUCCUAUUGAUCAAAGUGAUCAUUAUGACUAAAGAGACUCUUUCUCUUGAUGAGGGGAACUCCAAACUCAUAUGGCAAAGAACAUGGACAGAGGAGAGAGAGAAAAUUUGCACCAUUAAUGCAAUCAAUCAUUGCUGGAUGCCUCAUUGUAGGCAAUGAAGAUUUAUUUAUCUAUCAAAUUAUUUGUUUAUUGUGAGAUUCUCCAACUGUAACUGUAAGCUCUGCAAGAGUACAGCUGUAUAUCUAGUGACUCUAAAAUAAUGUGUUCUAAGUAUAUUUUUUCACUGAAGCUUUAAGUAAACGUGUUGAGUUGCAAUGGAAA